GAUGAAGAACGCAGCGAAAUGCGAUAAGUAAUGUGAAUUGCAGAAUUCAGUGAAUCAUCGAAUCUUUGAACGCACAUUGCGCCCUCUGGUAUUCCGGGGGGCAUGCCUGUUCGAGCGUCAUUAUAACCACUCAAGCUCUCGCUUGGUAUUGGGGUUCGCGGUUUCGCGGCCCCUAAAAUCAGUGGCGGUGCCUGUCGGCUCUACGCGUAGUAAUACUCCUCGCGAUUGAGUCCGGUAGGUCUACUUGCCAGCAACCCCUCAUUUUUUUAAGGUUGACCUCGGAUCAGGUAGGGAUACCCGCUGAACUUAAGCAUAUCAAUAAGCGGAGGA
Molecule: unclassified non-coding RNA, 330 nt
Filed under: soil metagenome
Description: partial contains 5.8S ribosomal RNA, internal transcribed spacer 2, and large subunit ribosomal RNA
Rfam family: 5.8S ribosomal RNA (bases 1-120)
Source: RNAcentral